This 346-nucleotide unclassified non-coding RNA is filed under the name soil metagenome. Its description in RNAcentral is "partial contains 5.8S ribosomal RNA, internal transcribed spacer 2, and large subunit ribosomal RNA". The stretch from base 1 to 120 matches the Rfam family "5.8S ribosomal RNA", at positions 35 to 154 of the family's 154-position model. The record is from RNAcentral.
GAUGAAGAACGUAGCGAAAUGCGAUACGCAAUGUGAAUUGCAGAAUUCAGUGAAUCAUCGAGUCUUUGAACGCACAUUGCGCCCCCUGGUAUUCCGGGGGGCAUGCCUGUCCGAGCGUCAUUGCUGCCCUCAAGCACGGCUUGUGUGUUGGGCCUCCGUCCUCCUCCCGGGGGACGGGCCCGAAAGGCAGCGGCGGCACCGCGUCCGGUCCUCGAGCGUAUGGGGCUUCGUCACCCGCUCUGUAGGCCCGGCCGGCGCCCGCCGGCGACCCCAAUCAAUCUUUCCAGGUUGACCUCGGAUCAGGUAGGGAUACCCGCUGAACUUAAGCAUAUCAAUAAGCGGAGGA